RNAcentral lists this ribosomal RNA (433 nucleotides) under uncultured bacterium. Its description in RNAcentral is "partial 16S ribosomal RNA". It matches the Rfam family "Bacterial small subunit ribosomal RNA", at positions 29 to 507 of the family's 1533-position model. The record is from RNAcentral.
AACGAACGCUGGCGGCAUGCCUAACACAUGCAAGUCGAACGAGACCUUCGGGUUUAGUGGCGCACGGGUGCGUAACGCGUUGGAACCUGCCUUUAGGUUCGGAAUAACUCAGAGAAAUUUGAGCUAAUACCGGAUGUUGUCUUCGGACCAAAGAUUUGUCGCCUUUAGAUGGGCCCGCGUUGGAUUAGCUAGUUGGUGGGGUAAAGGCCUACCAAGGCGACGAUCCAUAGCUGGUCUGAGAGGAUGAUCAGCCACACUGGGACUGAGACACGGCCCAGACUCCUACGGGAGGCAGCAGUGGGGAAUAUUGGACAAUGGGCGAAAGCCUGAUCCAGCAAUGACGCGUGAGUGAUGAAGGCCUUAGGGUUGUAAAGCUCUUUUACCCGAGAUGAUAAUGACAGUAUCGGGAGAAUAAGCUCCGGCUAACUCCGUG